RNAcentral lists this non-coding RNA (45 nucleotides) under Schistosoma curassoni. Lineage: Eukaryota; Metazoa; Platyhelminthes; Trematoda; Strigeidida; Schistosomatidae. The record is from RNAcentral.
AUCAAGCUGACGAUUCCAAAAUAGGACGAAACGCGCGUUCUGGAU